GCAAACUUGGUCAUUUAGAGGAAGUAAAAGUCGUAACAAGGUUUCCGUAGGUGAACCUGCGGAAGGAUCAUUAUUGAAAUAAAUUUGGUUGGGUUGUUGCUGGCUUCUAACUUGGAGCAUGUGCACACCUAAUCUUAUAUUUCUAACCACCUGUGAACCUGUGUAGAACUUGAAACAACUUUCAAGCAAUAAUAAUAACUUUUGCUUGGAUUGAGAAUUGCUGAGAUCAGCUUUUCUUAUGUUUCCAGAUCUAUGUGAUUAUAUACACCAAUAAGCAUGUAUCAGAACAUUAUUCAUUUGAGUCUAUGUGCUCUUUAAAUAUAACUUUCAACAACGGAUCUCUUGGCUCUCGCAUCGAUGAAGAACGCAGC
This 371-nucleotide unclassified non-coding RNA is filed under the name uncultured fungus. Its description in RNAcentral is "partial contains small subunit ribosomal RNA, internal transcribed spacer 1, and 5.8S ribosomal RNA". The stretch from base 1 to 73 matches the Rfam family "Eukaryotic small subunit ribosomal RNA", at positions 1759 to 1831 of the family's 1831-position model. Lineage: Eukaryota; Fungi. The record is from RNAcentral.